RNAcentral lists this ribosomal RNA (519 nucleotides) under uncultured bacterium. RNAcentral describes it as "bacterial SSU rRNA". It matches the Rfam family "Bacterial small subunit ribosomal RNA", at positions 383 to 917 of the family's 1533-position model. The record is from RNAcentral.
CUGAGGCAGCAACGCCGCGUGCGGGAGGACGGCCUUCGGGUUGUAAACCGCUUUUGGAGGGGAAGAGGGAGGACGGUACCCUUCGAAGAAGUCUCGGCUAACUACGUGCCAGCAGCCGCGGUAAAACGUAGGAGGCGAGCGUUAUCCGGAUUUACUGGGUGUAAAGCGCGUGCAGGCGGCGGCGCAAGUCGUGUGUGAAAGCUCCCGGCUCAAUCGGGAGAGGACGGACGAGACUGGGCAGCUAGAGGCAGGUAGAGGUGUGUGGAAUUCCGGGUGUAGUGGUGAAAUGCGUAGAGAUCCGGAGGAACACCAGUGGCGAAGGCGGCACACUGGGCCUGGCCUGACGCUCAGACGCGAAAGCAUGGGGAGCGAACGGGAUUAGAAACCCCGGUAGUCCAUGCUGUAAACGAUGCGGACUAGGUGUUGCGGGUUGAAUCCCCUGCAGUGCCGAAGCGAACGUGAUAAGUCCGCCACCUGGGGAGUACGGCCGCAAGGUUAAAACUCAAAGGAAUGGACGGA